RNAcentral lists this unclassified non-coding RNA (343 nucleotides) under Hevea brasiliensis (rubber tree). Lineage: Eukaryota; Viridiplantae; Streptophyta; Magnoliopsida; Malpighiales; Euphorbiaceae. The record is from RNAcentral.
GGAAAAAGAACAAGAAAUUCUUCUGGGUGCCUGCAAUUGCACCACUGAUAUCUGUUAUUCUGUCGACCUUUUUUGUGUUCAUAACCCGUGCAGAUAAGCAUGGGGUUCAGAUUGUGAAACACAUAGAAAAAGGAAUAAAUCCCUCCUCCGUGAAGGAAAUAUAUUUCAGUGGUGAAUUUCUUCUGAAAGGUUUUAGGAUUGGUGUUGUGGCUGGAAUGAUAGGAUUAACGGUGAGAUAGCUUUGGAAUCCAUCUUCUCUAAUACAUCAAUAGAAUUUUAUGAUCAAUUCUUAAACUAUACUAUUUUUUUUCAUCUUUUUAUUGUUUCAAUAAUGGGUUUGUCA